UUUCAAAUAUGGUUCAGCACCUCUGAAAAUAAUUUGACCAUAAGGACAUUUUAAAAUUUUAAAAUAAAAUUUAUCCUCUAUGUGUCUGUCCAUUUAAAGUGUGGCAUGUAGUUAUAUUCAGUAACUUAAAAUAUACGUCCCGAUGAAUCUAGAUCUUUUGUCAGAUUAAAAGUAUAUUUAAAAAAUAACCUAUGCUCAUGUAUUGAACAUACUUUUCAAUAAGCCCACAUUUCUGCUUUUUAAAAAUAUUUUUUUCAUUAGUCUGAUACCAAUUUCAAAACGUAUCAAGCAAUUUUUGCAGUUUGUUGCUAGAGUGGUGUUGCUAGGUGACGGGCAGUGCCUGCUGAAUUGUGUCGUUACAUUCCGGAGGUUUCUGACACGACUCAUUUUCCAGACACAAAAAACGUUAACUUAUUGC
Long non-coding RNA from Poecilia latipinna (sailfin molly), 418 nucleotides. RefSeq lists it as uncharacterized. Lineage: Eukaryota; Metazoa; Chordata; Actinopteri; Cyprinodontiformes; Poeciliidae. The record is from RefSeq and is a predicted model, not a curated record. The transcript is spliced from 3 exons.